Unclassified non-coding RNA from Pongo abelii (Sumatran orangutan), 148 nucleotides. It matches the Rfam family "Metazoan signal recognition particle RNA". Rfam says of the family: The signal recognition particle (SRP) is a universally conserved ribonucleoprotein. It is involved in the co-translational targeting of proteins to membranes. The record is from Ensembl. NCBI's taxonomy places the organism in Eukaryota, Metazoa, Chordata, Mammalia, Primates, Hominidae.
GUCAGGUAUGGUGGUGCACACCUGUAAUCCCAGCUACUCGGGAGACUGAGGCAGGAGACUCACUUGAACCCAGGAGGCAUAGGUUGCAGUGAGCUCAGAUUGCACCACUGCACUCCAGCCUGGGUGACAGAGUGAGACUCCGUCUCAA